UUCACUCACUGAGUUUAUACUCAUGUUUUUAAAAUUCAUGUUUUAGGUUUCCUGAGUUAAAGGUGAUUGGAUCCUAGGACGAGGUGCUCCUCCCUGUACAUUGCUUGGUAGGUUUAAUGUGACACUAAGUAUUAUCAAUCGUGCCUAGAGUCACUCCGCUGACGGUCAAGGUCUAAUUAUGUGUAUGUGAAUAUUUAAUGUGAACAUUAAGAAUCAUUGUUAAUCUAUUAAUGAAUAUAUUGGUGGAUGAUGCCAUUAUGAAUGUAUGAUUGGGUUUUAUGAAUCGUUUUCAAAGAAAC
RNAcentral lists this long non-coding RNA (299 nucleotides) under Theobroma cacao (cacao). Its description in RNAcentral is "long non-coding RNA (TCAC_LNC001194)". Lineage: Eukaryota; Viridiplantae; Streptophyta; Magnoliopsida; Malvales; Malvaceae. The record is from RNAcentral.